This 263-nucleotide unclassified non-coding RNA is filed under the name plant metagenome. RNAcentral describes it as "partial contains small subunit ribosomal RNA, internal transcribed spacer 1, and 5.8S ribosomal RNA". The record is from RNAcentral.
UUUCCGUAGGUGAACCUGCGGAAGGAUCAUUAUUGUAUAAACGGGGUGCGAGGGCUGUCGCUGACCCGAAAGGUCGUGCACGCCCGAGUGCCCUCACACACAUCCAUCUCACCCCUAUGUGCACCACCGCGUGGGUCCCCCUUUGGCUUGUUCGGAGGGGGGCUUACGUUUUCACACGAACUUUGUAUGCAGUGUAGAAUGUAUUUUUUGUUUUUGCGAUCACGCAAUCAAUACAACUUUCAACAACGGAUCUCUUGGCUCUC